UUAAGGUGGUAGGCUGAAAUCUUAGGUAAAUCCGGGGUUUCAAGGCCGAGAGCUGAUGACGAGUCGUCUUUUAGAUGACGAAGUGGUUGAUGCCAUGCUUCCAAGAAAAGCUUCUAAGCUUCAGGUAACCAGGAACCGUACCCCAAACCGACACAGGUGGUCGGGUAGAGAAUACCAAGGCGCUUGAGAGAACUCGGGUGAAGGAACUAGGCAAAAUGGCACCGUAACUUCGGGAGAAGGUGCGCCGGCUAGGGUGAAGGAUUUACUCCGUAAGCUCUGGCUGGUCGAAGAUACCAGGCCGCUGCGACUGUUUAUUAAAAACACAGCACUCUGCAAACACGAAAGUGGACGUAUAGGGUGUGACGCCUGCCCGGUGCCGGAAGGUUAAUUGAUGGGGUUAGCGCAAGCGAAGCUCUUGAUCGAAGCCCCGGUAAACGGUGGCCGUAACUAUAACGGUCCUAAGGUAGCGAAAUUCCUUGUCGGGUAAGUUCCGACCUGCACGAAUGGCGUAACGAUGGCGGCGCUGUCUCCACCCGAGACUCAGUGAAAUUGAAAUCGCUGUGAAGAUGCAGUGUAUCCGCGGCUAGACGGAAAGACCCCGUGAACCUUUACUGUAGCUUUGCACUGGACUUUGAGCCUGCUUGUGUAGGAUAGGUGGGAGGCUUUGAAGCGUGGACGCCAGUUCGCGUGGAGCCAUCCUUGAAAUACCACCCUGGCAUGCUUGAGGUUCUAACUCUGGUCCGUAAUCCGGAUCGAGGACAGUGUAUGGUGGGCAGUUUGACUGGGGCGGUCUCCUCCUAAAGAGUAACGGAGGAGUACGAAGGUGCGCUCAGACCGGUCGGAAAUCGGUCGCAGAGUAUAAAGGCAAAAGCGCGCUUGACUGCGAGACAGACACGUCGAGCAGGUACGAAAGUAGGUCUUAGUGAUCCGGUGGUUCUGUAUGGAAGGGCCAUCGCUCAACGGAUAAAAGGUACUCCGGGGAUAACAGGCUGAUACCGCCCAAGAGUUCAUAUCGACGGCGGUGUUUGGCACCUCGAUGUCGGCUCAUCACAUCCUGGGGCUGAAGCCGGUCCCAAGGGUAUGGCUGUUCGCCAUUUAAAGUGGUACGCGAGCUGGGUUUAGAACGUCGUGAGACAGUUCGGUCCCUAUCUGCCGUGGACGUUUGAGAUUUGAGAGGGGCUGCUCCUAGUACGAGAGGACCGGAGUGGACGAACCUCUGGUGUUCCGGUUGUCACGCCAGUGGCAUUGCCGGGUAGCUAUGUUCGGAAAAGAUAACCGCUGAAAGCAUCUAAGCGGGAAACUUGCCUCAAGAUGAGAUCUCACUGGGAACUUGAUUCCCCUGAAGGGCCGUCGAAGACUACGACGUUGAUAGGCUGGGUGUGUAAGCGUUGUGAGGCGUUGAGCUAACCAGUACUAAUUGCCCGUGAGGCUUGACC
RNAcentral lists this ribosomal RNA (1436 nucleotides) under metagenome. RNAcentral's name for it is "bacterial LSU rRNA". It matches the Rfam family "Bacterial large subunit ribosomal RNA", at positions 1512 to 2925 of the family's 2925-position model. The record is from RNAcentral.